This 1346-nucleotide ribosomal RNA is filed under the name uncultured bacterium. RNAcentral describes it as "partial 16S ribosomal RNA". It matches the Rfam family "Bacterial small subunit ribosomal RNA", at positions 28 to 1381 of the family's 1533-position model. The record is from RNAcentral.
GACGAACGCUGGCGGCGUGCUUAACACGUGCAAGUCGAACGGAAAGGCCCUGCUUUUGUGGGGUGCUCGAGUGGCGAACGGGUGAGUAACACGUGAGUAACCUGCCCUUGACUUUGGGAUAACUUCAGGAAACUGGGGCUAAUACCGGAUAGGAGCUCCUGCUGCAUGGUGGGGGUUGGAAAGUUUCGGCGGUUGGGGACGGACUCGCGGCUUAUCAGCUUGUUGGUGGGGUAGUGGCUUACCAAGGCUUUGACGGGUAGCCGGCCUGAGAGGGUGACCGGCCACAUUGGGACUGAGAUACGGCCCAGACUCCUACGGGAGGCAGCAGUGGGGAAUAUUGCACAAUGGGCGGAAGCCUGAUGCAGCAACGCCGCGUGCGGGAUGACGGCCUUCGGGUUGUAAACCGCUUUCGCCUGUGACGAAGCGUGAGUGACGGUAAUGGGUAAAGAAGCACCGGCUAACUACGUGCCAGCAGCCGCGGUGAUACGUAGGGUGCGAGCGUUGUCCGGAUUUAUUGGGCGUAAAGGGCUCGUAGGUGGUUGAUCGCGUCGGAAGUGUAAUCUUGGGGCUUAACCCUGAGCGUGCUUUCGAUACGGGUUGACUUGAGGAAGGUAGGGGAGAAUGGAAUUCCUGGUGGAGCGGUGGAAUGCGCAGAUAUCAGGAGGAACACCAGUGGCGAAGGCGGUUCCCUGGGCCUUUCCUGACGCUGAGGAGCGAAAGCGUGGGGAGCGAACAGGCUUAGAUACCCUGGUAGUCCACGCUGUAAACGGUGGGUACUAGGUGUGGGGUCCAUUCCACGGGUUCCGUGCCGUAGCUAACGCUUUAAGUACCCCGCCUGGGGAGUACGGCCGCAAGGCUAAAACUCAAAGGAAUUGACGGGGCCCCGCACAAGCGGCGGAGCAUGCGGAUUAAUUCGAUGCAACGCGUAGAACCUUACCUGGGUUUGACAUGGAUCGGGAGUGCUCAGAGAUGGGUGUGCCUCUUUUGGGGUCGGUUCACAGGUGGUGCAUGCCUGUCGUCAGCUCGUGUCGUGAGAUGUUGGGUUAAGUCCCGCAACGAGCGCAACCCUUGUUCACUGUUGCCAGCACGUUAUGGUGGGGACUCAGUGGAGACCGCCGGGGUCAACUCGGAGGAAGGUGGGGAUGACGUCAAGUCAUCAUGCCCCUUAUGUCCAGGGCUUCACGCAUGCUACAAUGGCUGGUACAGAGAGUGGCGAGCCUGUGAGGGUGAGCGAAUCUCGGAAAGCCGGUCUCAGUUCGGAUUGGGGUCUGCAACUCGACCUCAUGAAGUCGGAGUCGCUAGUAAUCGCAGAUCAGCAACGCUGCGGUGAAUACGUUCCCGGGGCU